UGAAGACUCAUACGGUGAAAU
RNAcentral lists this non-coding RNA (21 nucleotides) under Arabidopsis thaliana (thale cress). Lineage: Eukaryota; Viridiplantae; Streptophyta; Magnoliopsida; Brassicales; Brassicaceae. The record is from RNAcentral.